Long non-coding RNA from Rhinolophus ferrumequinum (greater horseshoe bat), 543 nucleotides. RefSeq lists it as uncharacterized. The record is from RefSeq and is a predicted model, not a curated record. The transcript is spliced from 3 exons. NCBI's taxonomy places the organism in Eukaryota, Metazoa, Chordata, Mammalia, Chiroptera, Rhinolophidae.
CGACCUUUUAGUUAACAACGUCCAAUGGUCAUUUAACAAUCUCAUCUUCAACCUUGCUGCAGUAUUUGAUGCUGAACCACCCUUAGCUCCGUGCAGUUCUGCCUGUCUUCCUGCAAAAUUUAAUUGCUUGCCACCAGCAUCCCCAAACAAUAUUUGAUUGCUCAAGCCACCAAGGAAGAUCAAGAAAGGUAAUGAUGUUCAAACUUAAGAAGCUGAAUUAAUGCAAGGAUGCUCUCUUAACCUCUAGAUGAAGUUGGAUCUCUUCACUGGAGACAUACAAGGAACCAGCAGAUGGAAACAAGCUUUUUGUCUAGUAUAAGUUAGAAGAUAGCCCAGAACCAGCCAGCAUUGAAACGGCCAUGUCUCAUUUGCUUCCAGUUACCAAAUUGAGUCUUAACUGGGGACAUGGAAAUCAUUUUGCCAUCCCUGUCUGGAAUUCAGCAAAACAGAUUGCAAACCCUGAAACAUUUAAGGUUGGGGAUGGCCACUGACUUGAUUUAUUAGUGGAGAUGGGAGCUAUCAGAGCUGCUUGAUCAAGGCUUC